GCCUUCGUGGUGUAACGGUUAGCACACUCGGCUCAUACUCGAGAGGUCCAGGUUCGAGUUCCGGCUAGGGCA
This 72-nucleotide transfer RNA is filed under the name Stegodyphus mimosarum. It matches the Rfam family "tRNA". From Rfam's summary of the family: Transfer RNA (tRNA) molecules are approximately 80 nucleotides in length. Their secondary structure includes four short double-helical elements and three loops (D, anti-codon, and T loops). Lineage: Eukaryota; Metazoa; Arthropoda; Arachnida; Araneae; Eresidae. The record is from Rfam by way of RNAcentral.